CGCUGCGCCUGCGCCCCGCGACCCCCGGCCAGGCCCCGGGCCGGGGCGCAGGGCGCAAUGGCGGCAGGAAGACGCGCGCCUCCUGCGGUCAAGCCCCAUUCCUCCAUCCCGCAAAGCUUCCUCACGCGGCCCUGGACACAGCUUGGUGGCCACGGCCGAGCUCGUCACGCGCGGAGCCGCGCGCCGGCCCAGCAGUCAGUCGCACAGGCUGAUGCCCAGCCCACUGUCCCGUACAGGCCCAGCCGCAGCUGUUUCCUCACCCCCACUCCCCAAACGCCACCAGCGCAGCAACUGGAAAGAGAGUCAUUCUCUAGAUUCACCCGUCACAGAGAACCGCCCAAACUGAAGACACCUGUGGUCACAGUGGAGCCGGUCAGACAGAUGUUGAACCAGUCAGGACAACUUACCACAUUUCAGAGAUGCAAAACUGAGGCACAGAGAGAUUAAGGGGCAUGUUCAUGGACACACAGCUAAGAGGUGGCAGAGAUGGGAUUCCAACCCAGAGGGCCUGGCUCGAAUCAAUGCUGUGUUCCUUCCUCCACAGUAACACAGCAGAGAGGAAUCAGACCAAGUUCCCACUCCAGCAGUGGAUACAGAAAUGACAACGGAGGACUGAUCAGUGUGAUGAGGGCCCUGGGUCCCUGAGAAGGGACACAGACCGACCUUAGACCUCUGGCGGCUAUGGGGAUGGAGCCAAGUGAGAAGCGGUGUCCUGUGUGCUUGAAGAUACGGCAGGUCCAGAAUCAGUCCAGGUGAUCAGCCUACGGCAGACACCGUUCUCUUCAUUUGGCCACCCUACUAUUCAGAUCCAAGAUACCUUAG
This is a long non-coding RNA of Artibeus jamaicensis (Jamaican fruit-eating bat), 822 nucleotides long. RefSeq lists it as uncharacterized. Lineage: Eukaryota; Metazoa; Chordata; Mammalia; Chiroptera; Phyllostomidae. The transcript has 5 exons. The record is from RefSeq and is a predicted model, not a curated record.